CGAAUGGCUCAUUAUAUAAGUUAUCGUUUAUUUGAUAGUACCUUACUACUUGGAUAACCGUGGUAAUUCUAGAGCUAAUACAUGCUAAAAAUCCCGACUUCGGAAGGGAUGUAUUUAUUAGAUUAAAAACCAAUGCCCUCUGGGCUCUCUGGUGAUUCAUAAUAACUUCUCGAAUCGCAUGGCCUUGCGCCGGCGAUGGUUCAUUCAAAUUUCUUCCCUAUCAACUUUCGAUGUUUGGGUAGUGGCCAAACAUGGUUGCAACGGGUAACGGAGGGUUAGGGCUCGACCCCGGAGAAGGAGCCUGAGAAACGGCUACUACAUCCAAGGAAGGCAGCAGGCGCGCAAAUUACCCAAUCCCGAUUCGGGGAGGUAGUGACAAUAAAUACUGAUACAGGGCUCUUUUGGGUCUUGUAAUUGGAAUGAGUACAAUUUAAAUCCCUUAACGAGGAACAAUUGGAGGGCAAGUCUGGUGCCAGCAGCCGCGGUAAUUCCAGCUCCAAUAGCGUAUAUUAAAGUUGUUGUGGUUAAAAAGCUCGUAGUUGAACCUUGGGCCUGGCUGGCCGGUCCGCCUCACCGCGUGUACUGGUCCGGCCGGGCCUUUCCCUCUGCGGAACCCCAUGCCCUUCACUGGGUGUGGCGGGGAAGCAGGACUUUUACUUUGAAAAAAUUAGAGUGCUCCAGGCAGGCCUAUGCUCGAAUACAUUAGCAUGGAAUAAUGAAAUAGGACGUGCGGUUCUAUUUUGUUGGUUUCUAGGACCGCCGUAAUGAUUAAUAGGGACAGUCGGGGGCAUCAGUAUUCAAUUGUCAGAGGUGAAAUUCUUGGAUUUAUUGAAGACUAACUACUGCGAAAGCAUUUGCCAAGGAUGUUUUCAUUAAUCAGGAACGAAAGUUAGGGGAUCGAAGACGAUCAGAUACCGUCGUAGUCUUAACCAUAAACUAUGCCGACUAGGGAUCGGACGAUGUUAUUUUUUGACUCGUUCGGCACCUUACGAGAAAUCAAAGUG
Molecule: ribosomal RNA, 1004 nt
Filed under: Metarhizium huainamdangense
Lineage: Eukaryota; Fungi; Ascomycota; Sordariomycetes; Hypocreales; Clavicipitaceae
Description: SSU rRNA
Rfam family: Eukaryotic small subunit ribosomal RNA
Source: RNAcentral